This 955-nucleotide ribosomal RNA is filed under the name Toxocara apodemi. RNAcentral describes it as "large subunit ribosomal RNA". Lineage: Eukaryota; Metazoa; Nematoda; Chromadorea; Rhabditida; Toxocaridae. The record is from RNAcentral.
UAAACUUUUUUUUUGUAUUGAUUGGUAUUGCAUACCAUUUUUGGAUGUUAAUAUUUUGGUAUAUAGAAUGGAAAGGUAAGGUAGAGAGCCUGUGUUUUUUAUUGUUACAUAAUAAUAAUUAUGGGUUUUGGUGUUGAAAUGUCGUCUUAUCUGUUAUCUGUGUGUUGGUUAUUUAUUAGAAAAUUAUUAGAUUUGUAAGUUGUGGAUGGAAAAUUAGAUUUUGUAGUGUUCUUGUUUUGUGUUUUAUAACAUUUUCUUUUUUGUAUUUUGUUGAUUUUGUUUUUAUUAAUUUAUUAAUAAUUUGAAAAUUUAGGAUUUAGUAGUUUUGUAAAUUUGGUAUUUUAUUUUAAUUUUUUUUUGUUAACUUGGGUUUUGAUCAAAUGUUUUUUAAAGACUUAGGUCUCUUUAUGUGACUGGCCUCUGCCCUAUGUUUUUAUAAAUGGCAGUCUUAGCGUGAGGACAUUAAGGUAGCAAAAUAAUUUGUACUUUUAAUGGGUUCUAGUAUGAAUGGGGUUAUUGGUUAAUUUUUUACUUGAUUUUUUUUGAAAUAGUUUUUUGUUUAAGAAAUAAUAUUUGUGGUUAAACAAAGAUAAGUCUUCGGAAGUUUUUUUCUUGGUUUUUUUGUGAUUGUGCUGGGAUGUUUUCUAGGGUAGAAUUUUUGGUAAUUUUGUUUACUAUUGAUAAGUUAUAAAACUACUUCGGAGUUAACAGAAAUUCAUGUCUUUACCAGUUCUUAUGGUGCGGAUAAGUUUUACAUCGAUGUUGUAUUUUGGUUGUUCGGGAGAGGAGAUGGCUCGGGUUUUGAGACUGUUCUUCUUUUAAUAAACUGAACGUGAUAUUAGUUUAAUUCAUCGUGAGAUAGAAUUGUUUAUCUUGUUAAUCACUUUAGUGUGAUGCGAAUAGUACGAAAGGAAAUUUGUUAAGGUUUUUAACUUUGUUAGAGGGAGUGCCUCUU